GGCAGCAGUGGGGAAUUGUGCACAAUGUGGGAAACCAUGUCGCAGCAACGCCAUGUGGAGGAUGAAGUCCCUUGGGAAAUAAGCUCCUCUCGAUCGGGUCGAUAAUGCCGGUACCGGAAGAAGAAGCCCCCGCUAACUUCUUGCCAGCAGUCGCGGUAAUACGAGGGGGGCUAGUUUUGUUCGUAAUUAUUGGGCUUAAAGGGUUCGUAGGUGGUUCGGCACGUGUUGUGUGAAAUCUUCAGUCUCAACGUGAAGUCUGCACAAUAAACUGCCGGGCUGGAGUAUGGGAGAGUUGAGUGGAAUUUCCGGUGUAACGGUGAAUUGCGUAGAUAUUGGAAGGAACACGUCUGGAGAGAGCGGCUCGCUGGCCCGUUACUGUCACUGAGUCGUGAAAGCUAGGAGAGCAAACAGGAUUAGUUACC
Molecule: ribosomal RNA, 422 nt
Filed under: uncultured bacterium
Lineage: Bacteria
Description: bacterial SSU rRNA
Rfam family: Bacterial small subunit ribosomal RNA
Source: RNAcentral